Dendronephthya gigantea is the source of this 730-nucleotide long non-coding RNA. RefSeq lists it as uncharacterized. The record is from RefSeq and is a predicted model, not a curated record. NCBI's taxonomy places the organism in Eukaryota, Metazoa, Cnidaria, Anthozoa, Malacalcyonacea, Nephtheidae. The transcript has 3 exons.
CAAGUUUGGCAAAGUACCUCGUACCCGUGACCUCAUAAAUAUCUUUGGGAAACCGUUCCUUCCAUUCGUUACGUAUAACGAAGGUCAGCAGUAUAAGUGGUUUGGAGCACACGUUCUUGACAAAAAUAGUGAAAUGAAGAUUGAUUUUCAAAAGCAUCUUACAAAGUUGGAAUGGUUGGAGAGUUUUAAAGUUGUAGAUGCGAACAAGGAAUGGGGUGAAAGUCAUCUAGAAAUCGUUUGCAAGUUUGGUUACGUACCUCGAACUCGUGACAUCAUCAAUAUAUUUGGGAAAGAGAUCCUUCCAUUUAUUGAAUAUAGCGAAGAUUGAGAUGGAGUCCGAAUUAAACCGGCUGCAUCGACGCGAAAAAUUUUAUUGCAGAAAGUCAAAUUGAAACAAAUCUGGCUAAUAUAUUUAACAAGUACAAAAAAUAAUCUAUGAAAUUAACUAAGUCUUGGUGGAGAUGCUGCAGUAGAUUGUAGCCUACAUUAACAGGCGAAGCACCUUGCCACAACUGGAAUUAAAAACAAUCCUAACGAACAAAAGUUGUCCGAUAUAGAUAGUUGCACUAUACAUAUGGAUAGCCAACAUGAAAAGCACUUGCCCACACAAGAAAGUAUAGGGUUGUCCGAUCAGAAAAAAUCUAUUGGUUCCUAUCAUACCCGUACUACAAUUUUUGAGACUAUGUUGAAACUAAAGUUUUAGUUCUGUUUCUAGCUCCUGUUGCUUCAG